This is a non-coding RNA of Macaca mulatta (Rhesus monkey), 1829 nucleotides long. Lineage: Eukaryota; Metazoa; Chordata; Mammalia; Primates; Cercopithecidae. The record is from RefSeq and is a predicted model, not a curated record.
CUAAACUUCCCUCUUUCUAACAAACACCACCAUCGCCCGGAACUCCCUUCCCCUUCAGGACCCCAUUCUUUACUUUUUCAGAUGGCUUAUUGGAGAAACAACCUCUUCUAAGGGAUGAGAUGUUGCUAAAGUUCUUUUUCAUAGGGGUCCUCCGUGGACAGCACACCCAGGAUUCAUGAAAGGAUAAUGGCUGGAAAUUCCAGGCAUGUGGCAACUUCUGAGGGACAGAUGGAAGUAGAUUAUCUCCUCUGCUCUUAGAAUAGUAGGAAAUAUUUGUAUUCAUUUAAAGUGGAAAGACAAUCUGCAUGCCUGGAGGAGAUAUUUGCAACAUUUACAACUGGCAAAGGUUUAUUAUCAAGAAUAUAUAAAGAAGUCUUGCAAAUCAACAAGAAAGAAGAAUAAAGCAGAAAGAAAUGGACAAACGAAAAGGCAUUUUAUAAAAGAAGAAAUGCGGAUGGCCAGCAAACAUAUGGAGAUGUUCAGCCUCAUGUGAAAUGUAAAUCAAGACCAAAUAAGAUAAGCUUUUAUGUCCACUAAAAUGGCAAAAUUUUAAUAGCUAGACAAUCCAAGUAUUGGAAAACAUACGGAUCCAUGGGAUCUCUUACAAAUUGCUCAUAAAGGUAUACAUUAGGAUACUCACUUAGAAAAACAGUGUGGCAUUAUCUUGUAAAAUCAAACACUCACAUAGGCUGCUGUGCAGAUCCUUGGUCUGUUUGCCCUCAGAUCCACUCUUUGCUAUGCCCUUAUGUGCUCGGUUUUCCAGCAGGAUCUCGGCAGCCAUGUCAUCUUGCUUCCAGUUGGGCUCAGUCAAUAAAAGAGAGAGAAUGGAAGGUGGAAGGAAGGGAGUAGCCAAGGUAUUUCUCAACCGGCACCCUCCCCCACUCCUCUCAAGUAGCAUCUCCUGUGGUGGCCACAGCUCUCCCAUGGGUCCAGUUCCCACAGGAAAGCCAGUCAUGAUUCUAACUUGUACCAGGUGACCCUGGCCCUGGGCUCUGGUGACACUAACCCUUUAUUUCUCUAGUUCUAGGGAGGGGUAGUAACAGCUUCCUGCUAUUAUUAAUUUAUGGGUGGCCUUACUGCCUCCUGUGAGGCUUCUCAGCUAUUGAUUACCAUACUACUCAGCAAUAAAAAGGAAAAAACUAUUGACACAUGCAACAACUUUGCUGGACCACAAGAGAAUUUUACCAACUGAAAAAGCCAGUCUCACAUUGUUACAUACUAUAUGAUUCCACUUACAUAACCUUCUAGAAAUGACAAAAUUAUUGAGGUGAAGAACAGAUUAGUGGUUGCCAAGGGUUAAAGACAGGGGUGGGGUUGGAGAAGGACAACAACUUUGUGGGACCACAAGAGAAUUUUACCAACUAAAAAAGCCAGUCUCACAUGGUUACAUACUGUAUGAUUCCACUUAUAUAACCUUCUAGAAAUGACAAAAUUAUUGAGGUGAAGAACAGAUUAGUGGUUCCAAGGGUUAAAGACAGGGGUGGGGUUGGAGAAGGAAAUCAGUGUACCUAAAAAGGGGCAGCCAGAGGGAUCUUUGUGGUGAUGGGACAGUUCUGUAUCUUGAUUGUGGUAGUGGUUAUACAAAUCUACAUGUAAUAAAGUUUUAUGUGUGCAUAGAACUAUGUACAUACUCAAACCAAUGCAUGUAACCCUGGUGAAAUCUGAAUAAGGUCUGUAGAUUGUGACCUGGUUUCGAUACUGCUUUAUAGCUAUCUAAGAUGUUAUUAUUGGGAGAAAAUGGGGGAAAGGUACGUGUACUUUUCUGUACCAUUUUUGCAACUUCUUGUGACUCUGUUAGUACUUCAAAAUGGAAAGUAUCUGAAAAACCA